RNAcentral lists this unclassified non-coding RNA (358 nucleotides) under soil metagenome. RNAcentral's name for it is "partial contains 5.8S ribosomal RNA, internal transcribed spacer 2, and large subunit ribosomal RNA". The stretch from base 1 to 120 matches the Rfam family "5.8S ribosomal RNA", at positions 35 to 154 of the family's 154-position model. The record is from RNAcentral.
GAUGAAGAACGUAGCGAAAUGCGAUAAGUAAUGUGAAUUGCAGAAUUCAGUGAAUCAUCGAAUCUUUGAACGCACAUUGCGCCCGUCAGUAUUCUGGCGGGCAUGCCUGUUCGAGCGUCAUUACGCCCCUCAAGUUCCCUGUGGACUUGGUGUUGGGGAUCGGCGAGGCUGGUUUUCCAGCACAGCCGUCCCUUAAAUUAAUUGGCGGUCUCGCCGUGGCCCUCCUCUGCGCAGUAGUAAAACACUCGCAACAGGAGCCCGGCGCGGUCCACUGCCGUAAAACCCCCCAACUUUUUAUAGUUGACCUCGAAUCAGGUAGGACUACCCGCUGAACUUAAGCAUAUCAAUAAGCGGAGGA